ACUACUUGAUCUUAUCUGAGCGGAAGGCGGCCGCCUUACUCUCCUCUCCUUCGCCGCGGCCGGAAGCGGAGCGAGAGGUCUCCACGAGCUCGUUGCCCUCGCGGUGACUGUUCUCCGCGGGCUCUCGGUAGCGUCUCGUUGCUCCCCCGCUCUCGCCGCCGUGCCCCGUCGCGAGGGGAGGCGCGGCUUGCCCCGCGGUGACGACUGCCCGCGGUCGGAGCACCCCCUUAGGGCGUGCGAUGAUGCACACGCGGGCUCCCCCCUCCAACAACAACAACAACAACAAAAAAUCCUGAACUCGUUUUCUCUUUUCCUUUCCAGAAAUAAUUACUGCACUUUUUUUUCUCCCAAGCAUGUUCACUUUCCGAUCCCUUUCAACUUUGUUUUCUUUUAAAUGAUUUAAGUUCCGGUCUUGAUAUUUUCUUUAGAACAUUUUCCCGUUCUUUUAAAAUCGGAGUGGCUUGAGCCGAUUUGAUCGAUACCUAAUUAAGAUUUUGCUGUGGUACCGGAUUAUUUAUUUAUUUAUUUAUUUUGUGAAGGAGAAGAAAUUAGAUGACUUAACUUGAAAACGUCUAAUAGUAAUGGAUUUUGUUGUCUACUUGUCAAACAUUUGGUUCUGAUAGUGAUUAUUAUAGAUUCCCAUAGCUGACGCAGGUGAAGAUGGGGCUCUGAGAAUUGUUAAUCAUGUGUUGUGGAACUAUUCGAUGUGGUUUAGACGGGCCCAAAGGUGUGUCAUAUAAAUUACUAUAACUGUUUUUUUGGCAUUCCAUUGGUGAUAGAUCCGUUCCUCUUGACGAUUUUGUGUGCGACAAGUUUUAUUGGGGAUAGUAAAUUAUUAGACUGUGAGCUGAAGAUCAAGAUCGGCGUUGUAGACGGUUCUACUGAUGGAGAAGGAAUCUAGUGUGGUGUCGUGAUGCAAUUUAGUGGGACACCCAGGAACUUGCUGAAUCACACCCACUCAUUCUUGUCGGCUGGAAUGAGAUUAUUGGUGUAAUUUUGUUCUUAUACUGCAUUUAUUUUUGCAAAAAUUUUAAUGAACAAACACUGGGAUCUUUUGUGUCACAUGAUGGAACCAUCAAGUUGGGGCAGCAGCUGCGUGUCUAUAUAUUUUUGUGCAUCAAUAGGUGCAUAUAUGCAUAUGGAUAUGUAUGCAACAGUAAACAAUUUUCUUUCUAACCACUUAUUCAAUGUAGGAUUCAUUUUAAUGGACUUUAUUACGAGAUGAGUCCAAGCUUUUGAUCUGGUCAAUUAGCGCGGGUUCAGUUUGAUUAA
Elaeis guineensis (African oil palm) is the source of this 1272-nucleotide long non-coding RNA. RefSeq lists it as uncharacterized. NCBI's taxonomy places the organism in Eukaryota, Viridiplantae, Streptophyta, Magnoliopsida, Arecales, Arecaceae. The record is from RefSeq and is a predicted model, not a curated record.